CACGCCCUAAACGUUGAUUACUCGCUGUUGGCGAUACACUGUCAGCGGCUAAGCGAAAGCGGUAAGUAAUCCACCUGGGGAGUACGGUCGCAAGAUUGAAACUCAAAGGAAUUGACGGGGGCCCGCACAAGCGGAGGAGCAUGUGGUUUAAUUCGAUGAUACGCGAGGAACCUUACCUGGGCUUGAAUGUGAGUGACCGGUGCCGAAAGGUACUUUCCCUUCGGGGCACAAAACAAGGUGC
This 241-nucleotide ribosomal RNA is filed under the name uncultured bacterium. RNAcentral describes it as "partial 16S ribosomal RNA". It matches the Rfam family "Bacterial small subunit ribosomal RNA", at positions 796 to 1041 of the family's 1533-position model. The record is from RNAcentral.